RNAcentral lists this ribosomal RNA (433 nucleotides) under bacterium T31. RNAcentral describes it as "bacterial SSU rRNA". It matches the Rfam family "Bacterial small subunit ribosomal RNA", at positions 958 to 1392 of the family's 1533-position model. The record is from RNAcentral.
AACGCGAAGAACCUUACCAGGUCUUGACAUCCGCUGACAAUCUUGGAGACAAGACGUUCCCUUCGGGGACAGCGUGACAGGUGGUGCAUGGUUGUCGUCAGCUCGUGUCGUGAGAUGUUGGGUUAAGUCCCGCAACGAGCGCAACCCUUGAUUCUAGUUGCCAGCAUUAAGUUGGGCACUCUAGAGUGACUGCCGGUGACAAACCGGAGGAAGGUGGGGAUGACGUCAAAUCAUCAUGCCCCUUAUGACCUGGGCUACACACGUGCUACAAUGGAUGGUACAAAGGGCAGCAAAGUCGCGAGGCUAAGCAAAUCCCAUAAAACCAUUCUCAGUUCGGAUUGCAGGCUGCAACUCGCCUGCAUGAAGCCGGAAUCGCUAGUAAUCGCGGAUCAGCAUGCCGCGGUGAAUACGUUCCCGGGCCUUGUACACACCG